GACGGCCGUAUCACGUUUAAAUCUUGGUUCUCGUCCAAUCACCGAAGUUAAACAACGUUGGACCUGGUUAGUACCUAGAUAGGUGACCGCUUGAGAUUAUUAAGUGCUGCAAGC
Acanthosepion pharaonis is the source of this 114-nucleotide non-coding RNA. NCBI's taxonomy places the organism in Eukaryota, Metazoa, Mollusca, Cephalopoda, Sepiida, Sepiidae. The record is from the annotation of a GenBank genome assembly.